RNAcentral lists this long non-coding RNA (4358 nucleotides) under Daucus carota (carrot). RNAcentral describes it as "long non-coding RNA (DCAR_LNC004681)". The record is from RNAcentral. Lineage: Eukaryota; Viridiplantae; Streptophyta; Magnoliopsida; Apiales; Apiaceae.
CAUUAAGCAUUUGGUACUCACUGUCUUUCCAUUCCUUGAUGAAGACAAGCUCGGGUGGAUAACCUUCAUAUUGAAGGCCGCUCCUUUCUUGAAGAACCUACAAUUAAAUGUGAGUUAAAACUUAAAUGUUAAAUAUCUCCCAUUAAUAAUUACAUUGUAUAAAAACUAAUAACAGCAGGACUAUCCCCAAUUUCCCGUUAAACUUAAACUCCUAACUGUGUAACUUAAGAGGGGAUGCAGCUGAAGGAGAGAAGUUUACAUGGGGCUGGGGCAGGUGGAUUCUAUUUACUUGUUUUUUUUCUUAAUCUUUUCUAGCAUGCAAAUACAUUGAUAUUCUUCAUUUAGGGUCGAAAUUUACAGCCAUCUUUUAUUGGCUAACGAUCAUAUAUAUUGAGGUAAAUACAGUGAGGUAUAAGAUAAAGUUGGUAUGAUUUUACUUAGAGCAAGUCCAAUGCUUAGCUAUAAUUGGUUGUAUAGCUAUAAUAUAGAACUAAUUAUGCAAAAUCAUCACUCCAAUGCAUAGUAUACUUUAUCCUAUAAAUAAAUGCAUAAGGAUAGCUGGUCCUAUAUUUGGACUAAAGAUAGCUAUAGCCUUCCUUGCCACAUUGUCCAACCAACUAAAGUUUAGGGAGUUUGGUGAAAAGUUAGUAAGAUUUGAAUGUAGUUGGGCCUAUUUUAGAACUAUGCAUUGGAGCACUAGUUGUAUUUUUAGACCAAAAACUACUUUUUGGUCCAAAAAUAUAGGAAUGGCUAUAGCCAUUUUAACUUUAGCAUUAGACUUGCUCUUACACAUUGCAAUAAUUAACAGGAAAUUAUGAAACUAAAAACUUAAUUAGAUUAAUAUCCUCGCUGCUUCUUAUAUGUUAUGCUAGCCGUAAGCAUGAUAGUACAAAUUGAUCUCUCUGUGGUUGGACUUCUUUAUCAGAUAUAAAGAGUUCAUACUCAAGUUAACGAUUGUAAUAUUUUCGUAACUUGUUUUCCUAUGGGGUCGGAUGAUAUGGUGUUAAUCUAACGUUGCUUCUACUCUCUUUCAGCAAUUCAUCUCAAGCUUCACCAGACAGUCAGAGGUGCAUGAUAGACAGCUACCUGAAGUCACUCAUAUGAAUCUUAGAGAAAUAGAGAUAAAUGGUUAUCAGGGUAACUAUCAUGAAAAGGAGCUCUUAAAGUAUUUGGUUAAUAGUGCAGUUAAGCUUGAUCUCCUUGUGAUUAGUCCACAAGUGAAGGUAUACAAGGGCUUAAACGAUUGGUGUUAUGAAGAUUUGAAUUUGCCUGGCGACAAGUUGAGCUUGGAAAAGAUUGAAGAACUCCAUUCAAUGGUUCCCAAGGCAAUCCGUGUAAGGAUAAUAUAAAUUUUUAAUAUGUCUUUAUGUAUGCGCUUUCAGUGGCAGAUAUAGACUGUCACCAGCUAGCAUAUCAGCCAUGGUGGCUGGUUAGCCUAGUAUAUAAAGAGACCAGUCUUGGUUGUAUUAACAUUAGCGUUACACAACAUUUUUGUAAAUUAGGUAAGAUAUUUUUGUCCCGGCAUUCACUUGGUCGUUGUGAUUACUUUUUCCCUGUGUAAAUAUUGGAUUUGAAAAUUAAUGCAGAACAUCGUGCUUCUCAUCUUUAUCGUGUUUUACUCUGAAGUACUAAGUUCCGGUAUCCAAUCAUGUAUAAGAUGAAGGUAAAGAUUAAAGUUUUACUUCUAGGGUGUGGAGCUUUGGUCAUUUUGGAGUCUGGAAUGAUAUAGAAAAGGUACAUAUAUGUUCUGUGGAGAAUGGAGAGCUGGAACAUGUGUAACUGUGUAUAUCAUCAGAUUAUACUGCAAAACAGUUUAAACCACAUAAAACUAAAAGGCAGCUGCUCCAAAAACUUACGCGUGCCAGUAAUAUUCAUCUGACAAAAAAAAAACGAGGUAAUUUUCCAUUUGACUCGACCAACAAAAAAAAGUGUUUAGGAGGAUGUAAUUUUCCAUCCGACUCAACCAACGGGGAAAAAAGCGUUUAGGAGGAGGUAACUUUCCAUCCAACGAGAAAAAAAAAGGAGAAAAAACGUUUACGAUGAGAUCUUGUUGCAAUGUUAUAGCUACCUAACUAAAAUAUAAGCUUUCCUCAAGCGAGAUUUUGCACAAGCUACCUAGUGAAUGUAAUGACUAUUUCAUAUUUAAAAAAGCACGGUUCAUCUAACCAUCUUUGUAAUAUUCAAAAAAACACAUUACAAGUCUGUCAAAAAAAAUAAAAAUCACAGUACACACACUUGCCAAAAUAACGCGGGUGUUUUUUUUUUUUUUUUUUUUUGUCACAAGAUACUUUCUCGUAUAACGAAUUGUAUCAGAAUACAAAAGCUGCUGCUAGGAGUUCCUUUCGUUCAAUAAAGUUUACCAUCUAACCCUCGGACAUGCAAAGAUGACCGGGGACGCUUAGACAAUAAAACUUUAAUGUUCGAUAAGAAAACACCCCUAAGAGGUCCAACUUUCCUUCUUUCUUCCCUCGAGUAUCCUGAAAAAUACCAACAAAAUAAAAGAACACAAUAAGUUCAUAAAAAUAAUCGAAUUAUCUAAAACCGACAAAGGAAAAAGUCAACAAACUCAAUAUUAGAAAAAUAUAUGAAUAUAAUAUAAUUUUUAAAGAAUCGAAAGUAAAAUAAAACUUAAGUAAAACAACACAUUAAAAAAUCUAAACCAAAGAGAUAAUUAGAUCUCUUUGGUUAGAUACCUAAACAAAAAAUACAAAAUAAAAUAUAAUAUAAAUUUCAUCAGAAAAUAGCUAAAUGUUAUCUCAAUCAAUAUUUAAAAUAUAAAAAAUAAAAAAAUUGAAAAUUGAAAAACAUAGCUAAGAUAUAUCUACUCAAAUAUAAGACAAAAUCUUGUCAAGAAAAUAAAAUAUGAAUCUUAUCAGAAUAUAACUAACUGAUAUCUCAAUAGGUAUUUAAUAUAAAAAUAAGAAGAAAUGAUUUAAAAUUGAAAAACAAACGUAUCACGAUUUUAGCUAAUUAUUAUCAACAUAAUGUAAAUUUGGUAUACACCAAUUAACCAAUCAACCAUUAAUGGCGUAAUAAUACCUCAUUAAGGCACAACAAAGCCAUCCUUUAUGGCCCCAUGAAUAAUUAAAUUCAGGUACAAUAAUCAACAAUAAAGACUAUCAAUUAAUUUUGUAAUGAAGACACAAAAAUUCAAAUUAUAGCACAUAGAAAAAAGUCAAAUUUCAAAUAUAAACGAAGUUAAAAAAUGUCAACUUAGCAUUCAAAAAUGACUAAAAUUAAGAUCUCUGAUUACUCCUAUAUCCUAAAUUACAAAGCUAAAUGUAUAAUCAAUCAAUAAACCUAGUAAAUUAAAUUACAUUACUCGCACUAAUUAAGUCAUCACCUCCACCACCACCACCGUCCAAGAACCGCAAACAAUCACCAUGGAUAGUACGAAACAAUUAAGAAUCGAAAAAGAAGAAACAAAACAUAUAAGAUAUAACUGACCAUAUAAUAUAAGAUUAAUAAAAACAUAUCCAAUCUCCUCAAAUUCAAACAAUCUAUACAAAAAUAGAUUUAAGCACGCAAUUAUACCUAAUCGGGAAAAAAAUAUGAAUCACAUCACAAUAAUAUAUAUAAUCAUAUGAUCAUAAUUAUGUGGUUUUACGUUAUGAAAAGAUCACACAUGUUUUUCUUUUUCCUUGAAUCGCAUCAGAGUGGCAUGAUUCUUUGCUUUAUAAUUUUCGAACAAGAGCCAUCCCAGCACCGAUUCAAGAUGAUGGCAAUUGGAAGGUGCCAGAAGCCGUGUCCUCGCUGGCCAACAAACUGAUUGAUACAGUACACAAUCGGUGCCCAGCUCCCGAACUAAGUACUCGACAACCAGAUCUUGUGCACAAACAGAAGUUGCUAAUGCUCAAGAUUUGAGAUCAAGAAUAAACGAACCACCGAGAAACCCUUAAAACAUAAAAAGAACUAAUCUUUAACGCGGGUGUUUGGCAAACUAAGCUCAUGGCUUAUUUGGAAGAGAAGUAACUUCAACUUAUUUAUGAACCGCUUGGCAAGGCAAGAGAAGUGCUUAAAAUGAGACUUAAAAACCUUCUAAUAAAAGCUAAGAAACCUAGCUUUUUUUGGGUUUUGAGCUUAUUAUAACAAAAUAAGCCACAGGUAUCCAAACACUUUUAAUAAUUUAUAGGUUCAAACCAACUUUUCACUUAUAAUUCAAUUCUUUAUUUUAAGCAAUAAGUCACUUAUUUUGAGCCUAGCCAAACGGCUCCGAUAUAAAAAUUCUCAAACAAUACACAGACUGCGUGUGAGAGAGAGAGUGAUGAUCUUGUAUGCCUAAGUCAACCGAAGACUUGACCAGAGUGGGAGAGGGGGAGAGAAGGCUUGGCCAGAGUGGGAGAGGGAGAGAGAGAGAU